GAAUGGGGAAACCCAGUGUGACUCGUCACACUAUCAUUAACUGAAUCCAUAGGUUAAUGAGGCGAACCGGGGGAACUGAAACAUCUAAGUACCCCGAGGAAAAGAAAUCAACCGAGAUUCCCCCAGUAGCGGCGAGCGAACGGGGAGGAGCCCAGAGCCUGAAUCAGCAUGUGUGUUAGUGGAAGCGUCUGGAAAGGCGCGCGAUACAGGGUGACAGCCCCGUACACAAAAGCGCAUGUGCUGUGAGCUCGAUGAGUAGGGCGGGACACGUGGUAUCCUGUCUGAAUAUGGGGGGACCAUCCUCCAAGGCUAAAUACUCCUGACUGACCGAUAGUGAACCAGUACCGUGAGGGAAAGGCGAAAAGAACCCCGGCGAGGGGAGUGAAAAAGAACCUGAAACCGUGUACGUACAAGCAGUGGGAGCACCCUUUGGGUGUGACUGCGUACCUUUUGUAUAAUGGGUCAGCGACUUAUAUUCUGUAGCAAGGUUAACCGAAUAGGGGAGCCGGAGGGAAACCGAGUCUUAAUUGGGCGUUAAGUUGCAGGGUAUAGACCCGAAACCCGGUGAUCUAGCCAUGGGCAGGUUGAAGGUUGGGUAACACUAACUGGAGGACCGAACCGACUAAUGUUGAAAAAUUAGCGGAUGACCUGUGGCUGGGGGUGAAAGGCCAAUCAAACCGGGAGAUAGCUGGUUCUCCCCGAAAGCUAUUUAGGUAGCGCCUCGUGAAUUCAUCUCCGGGGGUAGAGCACUGUUUCGGCUAGGGGGCCAUCCCGGCUUACCAACCCGAUGCAAACUGCGAAUACCGGAGAAUGUUAUCACGGGAGACACACGGCGGGUGCUAACGUCCGUCGUGAAGAGGGAAACAACCCAGACCGCCAGCUAAGGUCCCAAAGUCAUGGUUAAGUGGGAAACGAUGUGGGAAGGCCCAGACAGCCAGGAUGUUGGCUUAGAAGCAGCCAUCAUUUAAAGAAAGCGUAAUAGCUCACUGGUCGAGUCGGCCUGCGCGGAAGAUGUAACGGGGCUAAACCAUGCACCGAAGCUGCGGCAGCGACGCUUAUGCGUUGUUGGGUAGGGGAGCGUUCUGUAAGCCUGCGAAGGUGGCCUGUGAGGGUUGCUGGAGGUAUCAGAAGUGCGAAUGCUGACAUAAGUAACGAUAAAGCGGGUGAAAAGCCCGCUCGCCGGAAGACCAAGGGUUCCUGUCCAACGUUAAUCGGGGCAGGGUGAGUCGACCCCUAAGGCGAGGCCGAAAGGCGUAGUCGAUGGGAAACGGGUUAAUAUUCCCGUACUUGGUGUUACUGCGAAGGGGGGACGGAGAAGGCUAUGUUGGCCGGGCGACGGUUGUCCCGGUUUAAGCGUGUAGGCUGGUUUUCCAGGCAAAUCCGGAAAAUCAAGGCUGAGGCGUGAUGACGAGGCACUACGGUGCUGAAGCAACAAAUGCCCUGCUUCCAGGAAAAGCCUCUAAGCAUCAGGUAACAUCAAAUCGUACCCCAAACCGACACAGGUGGUCAGGUAGAGAAUACCAAGGCGCUUGAGAGAACUCGGGUGAAGGAACUAGGCAAAAUGGUGCCGUAACUUCGGGAGAAGGCACGCUGACACGUAGGUGAAGUGAUUUACUCACGGAGCUGAAGUCAGUCGAAGAUACCAGCUGGCUGCAACUGUUUAUUAAAAACACAGCACUGUGCAAACACGAAAGUGGACGUAUACGGUGUGACGCCUGCCCGGUGCCGGAAGGUUAAUUGAUGGGGUCAGCGCAAGCGAAGCUCCUGAUCGAAGCCCCGGUAAACGGCGGCCGUAACUAUAACGGUCCUAAGGUAGCGAAAUUCCUUGUCGGGUAAGUUCCGACCUGCACGAAUGGCGUAAUGAUGGCCAGGCUGUCUCCACCCGAGACUCAGUGAAAUUGAACUCGCUGUGAAGAUGCAGUGUACCCGCGGCAAGACGGAAAGACCCCGUGAACCUUUACUAUAGCUUGACACUGAACAUUGAGCCUUGAUGUGUAGGAUAGGUGGGAGGCUUUGAAGUGUGGACGCCAGUCUGCAUGGAGCCGACCUUGAAAUACCACCCUUUAAUGUUUGAUGUUCUAACGUGGACCCGUUACCCGGGUUGCGGACAGUGUCUGGUGGGUAGUUUGACUGGGGCGGUCUCCUCCUAAAGAGUAACGGAGGAGCACGAAGGUUGGCUAAUCCUGGUCGGACAUCAGGAGGUUAGUGCAAUGGCAUAAGCCAGCUUGACUGCGAGCGUGACGGCGCGAGCAGGUGCGAAAGCAGGUCAUAGUGAUCCGGUGGUUCUGAAUGGAAGGGCCAUCGCUCAACGGAUAAAAGGUACUCCGGGGAUAACAGGCUGAUACCGCCCAAGAGUUCAUAUCGACGGCGGUGUUUGGCACCUCGAUGUCGGCUCAUCACAUCCUGGGGCUGAAGUAGGUCCCAAGGGUAUGGCUGUUCGCCAUUUAAAGUGGUACGCGAGCUGGGUUUAGAACGUCGUGAGACAGUUCGGUCCCUAUCUGCCGUGGGCGCUGGAGAACUGAGGGGGGCUGCUCCUAGUACGAGAGGACCGGAGUGGACGCAUCACUGGUGUUCGGGUUGUCAUGCCAAUGGCACUGCCCGGUAGCUAAAUGCGGAAGAGAUAAGUGCUGAAAGCAUCUAAGCACGAAACUUGCCCCGAG
This 2660-nucleotide ribosomal RNA is filed under the name Salmonella enterica subsp. enterica serovar Enteritidis. RNAcentral describes it as "partial 23S ribosomal RNA". It matches the Rfam family "Bacterial large subunit ribosomal RNA". Lineage: Bacteria; Pseudomonadati; Pseudomonadota; Gammaproteobacteria; Enterobacterales; Enterobacteriaceae. The record is from RNAcentral.